Molecule: ribosomal RNA, 593 nt
Filed under: Naganishia albida
Lineage: Eukaryota; Fungi; Basidiomycota; Tremellomycetes; Filobasidiales; Filobasidiaceae
Description: eukaryotic LSU rRNA
Rfam family: Eukaryotic large subunit ribosomal RNA
Source: RNAcentral
UCCGGGAAUCCCCUAGUACGGCGAGUGAGCGGGAAGAGCUCAAAUUUGAAAUCUGGUAGCCUUCGGUUGCCCGAGUUGUAAUCUAGAGAAGUGUUUUCCGUGCCGGCCCAUGUACAAGUCCCUUGGAACAGGGCGUCAUAGAGGGUGAGAAUCCCGUCCUUGACAUGGACCCCCGGUGCUUUGUGAUACACUUUCAACGAGUCGAGUUGUUUGGGAAUGCAGCUCAAAAUGGGUGGUGAAUUCCAUCUAAAGCUAAAUAUUGGCGAGAGACCGAUAGCGAACAAGUACCGUGAGGGAAAGAUGAAAAGCACUUUGGAAAGAGAGUUAAACAGUACGUGAAAUUGUUGAAAGGGAAACGAUUGAAGUCAGUCAUGCUCUUGGGACUUACCUCCCUUGAGUGGGGUCAACAUCAGUUUUGAUCGAUGGAUAAAGGCACGGGGAAGGUAGCACUCUCGGGUGAACUUAUAGCCUCGCGUCAUAUACAUUGAUUGGGACUGAGGAACGCAGCAUGCCUUAUGGCCGGGAUUCGUCCACGUACAUGCUUAGGAUGUUGACAUAAUGGCUUUAAACGACCCGUCUUGAACCACGGACCA